UCUUGGUCAUUUAGAGAAAGUAAAAGUCGUAACUCUUGGUCAUUUAGAGGAAGUAAAAGUCGUAACAAGGUCUCCGUUGGUGAACCAGCGGAGGGAUCAUUA
This 102-nucleotide ribosomal RNA is filed under the name Ophiostoma sp. CMW9490. Its description in RNAcentral is "partial 18S ribosomal RNA". It matches the Rfam family "Eukaryotic small subunit ribosomal RNA", at positions 1730 to 1831 of the family's 1831-position model. The record is from RNAcentral. Lineage: Eukaryota; Fungi; Ascomycota; Sordariomycetes; Ophiostomatales; Ophiostomataceae.